UACAGAGGGUGCAAGCGUUAAUCGGAAUUACUGGGCGUAAAGCGCACGCAGGCGGUUGGUUAAGUCAGAUGUGAAAGCCCCGGGCUCAACCUGGGAAUUGCAUUUGAAACUGGAAAACUAGAGUGUGUGAGAGGGGGGUAGAAUUCCAAGUGUAGCGGUGAAAUGCGUAGAGAUUUGGAGGAAUACCAGUGGCGAAGGCGGCCCCCUGGCACAACACUGACGCUCAGGUGCGAAAGCGUGGGGAGCAAACAGG
This 253-nucleotide ribosomal RNA is filed under the name uncultured bacterium. RNAcentral's name for it is "partial 16S ribosomal RNA". It matches the Rfam family "Bacterial small subunit ribosomal RNA", at positions 524 to 776 of the family's 1533-position model. The record is from RNAcentral.